Molecule: ribosomal RNA, 505 nt
Filed under: uncultured bacterium
Lineage: Bacteria
Description: partial 16S ribosomal RNA
Rfam family: Bacterial small subunit ribosomal RNA
Source: RNAcentral
GACGAACGCUGGCGGCGUGCCUAAUACAUGCAAGUAGAACGCACAGUUUAUACCGUAGCUUGCUACACCAUAGACUGUGAGUUGCGAACGGGUGAGUAACGCGUAGGUAACCUGCCUGGUAGCGGGGGAUAACUAUUGGAAACGAUAGAUAAUACCGCAUAAUAUUAAUUAUUGCAUGAUAAUUAAUUGAAAGGUGCAAUUGCACCACUACCAGAUGGACCUGCGUUGUAUUAGCUAGUAGGUGAGGUAACGGCUCACCUAGGCGACGAUACAUAGCCGACCUGAGAGGGUGAUCGGCCACACUGGGACUGAGACACGGCCCAGACUCCUACGGGAGGCAGCAGUAGGGAAUCUUCGGCAAUGGACGAAAGUCUGACCGAGCAACGCCGCGUGAGUGAAGAAGGUUUUCGGAUCGUAAAGCUCUGUUGUAAGAGAAGAACGGGUGUGAGAGUGGAAAGUUCACACUGUGACGGUAUCUUACCAGAAAGGGACGGCUAACUACGUG